GGCGGAGGGACUCUCGAGAGAGGAGGAGGGAAGGAGAGGACGAGGAAGACAUGCUAGGUGGGAUGAAACUCGUUGGAACAAAGAUGCCGCCAUCGCUUCCCUAGGUUAAAGCACUCUUUAGAGAUGGAGGAAAGGAGAGGACGAGGAAGACGUGCUAGGUCGAACGAAACUCGUCGGAACAAAGACACCGCCAUCAUUUUCCUAGGUUAAAGGACUCGAGAGAGAGAUGGAGGAAA
This 236-nucleotide long non-coding RNA is filed under the name Elaeis guineensis (African oil palm). RNAcentral describes it as "long non-coding RNA (EGUI_LNC000287)". The record is from RNAcentral. Lineage: Eukaryota; Viridiplantae; Streptophyta; Magnoliopsida; Arecales; Arecaceae.